This 4431-nucleotide long non-coding RNA is filed under the name Sus scrofa (pig). RNAcentral describes it as "lncRNA (ENSSSCG00025075499.1)". Lineage: Eukaryota; Metazoa; Chordata; Mammalia; Artiodactyla; Suidae. The record is from RNAcentral.
GGAACUAGCCGGACUGAGAGGUGUGAGUAGAGGACCCGGGAGACUGGGAGCCAGGUGAGGGGGGUGGAUAUGAGGAAAGUGGGGCCCGCCGCGAAGAAGAGGGAAUGGCAGGGCUUGGGUCUGGGGCUGAGGAGGCUGGAGGAAGGUGUGGGCAGAUGGCGUUGCAGAGACCUCUCACACUACCCUCACUGCCGAUCUGGACUCAAGGCCCAGCGGCCAAUUAAUGCUGAAUUGGAAGCUGAGAAGGAAGGGAUGUUUUAUUUUUCAUGCCCCUAAGAAAGUGAAGUGGCAGUACCUGAUUCGAAAUACCUUGUGACCUAAGUCUUAAUCUCUGUCCCAACUGCUGGGAGGUAGCUGGGCGACCAUUCUGAAGAUGAGACGGGGGCACUUUUUUCUUGCCGCCCGUUUGAAUCAGCUACAGGGCUGGGGGAUCAGCGUGUUAAGAGAUGAUGCCACAUCAAUGGCGUUUUGGUAGCCUGGCAAUUGAUUUUUCCCAGACUUGCAUUUUGUUUAACUGCAAAGGCAGAGGCAUUAUCCAAAUAUUUUAAAAUUCAAACCGUAUUGAAGUGUUUAAAGUUAAAAAAAAAGGGUGCGAGAGUAUUCCCCACCCCCACCCCAGGUAUUUUUGAAGGUAGGAAACAGCUAUAAAGGAAAACGAAAAGGAAUCCUCCAGAAGAGAAGUUCACCCUUGUAACCCCCUGUUUUCUUUUUAAUUUUUUUUAGAUUUGUUUUUUAUUGAGGUAGCAUUGGUUUAUAAUACUGUGUUUCAUGUGUACAGUGUUGUAUUUCUACUUAUAUAUGCCCUACAGUGUAUUCACCACCAGAAGACACCAUACGGUAUUUGUCUUUCUCCAUCUGACUUAAUUUGACAACAUAAUACCUUCAAGAUCCAUCCGUGUUGGCAUGGCAGGAUUCUGUCUCUUUUUAAUGGCUCAGUAUUCCAUUGUAUAUAGACACCUAACUUCUUUAUCUAUAAUCUGUUGAUGGGCAUUUGGGUUGUCUCCAUAUCUUGGAUAUUGUCAGUAAUGCUGUGAUGAACAUAGGGUUGCAUAUAUCUUUUUAAAUUAGUGUUUUCAUGUUCUUUGGAUAAAUACCCAGGAGUGAGAUAGCUGAAUCUUAAUCUUUUUUUGUUUGUUUUUUAGUUUUUUUUUUUUUUUGUCUUUAGGGCCACACCCAGGGCAGACAGAGGUUCACAGGCUAGGGAUCCAAUCAGAGCUGUAGCUGCCGGCCUACGCUACAGCCACAGCAACUGGUAUCCGAGCCGAGUCUGCGACCUAUACCACACACAGCUCAUGGCAACCCCAGAUCCUUAACCCACUGACUGAGCAAGGCCAGGGAUCUAACCCUUGAUCCUCCUGGAUACUAGUUGGAUUCGUUAACCACUGAGCCACGACGGAAACUCCAUGUAUUCUUAAUCUUUUGAAGAAUCUCCAUACUUGCCCAUAGUGGCUGCACCAAUUUACAUGCCCACCAACAAUGUAUGAGAGUUCCCUUUUCUCCACACUCUCACCAACACUUUGUAACCCAUUGUUUUCUGCUGUUCCAAGGGCUUGAAAGUGAAAAUCAGGAGAUGGGUGAGAUAUCCAUCUCCCACCAGCAGUGCUAGGGCCAUGUUACCCUCCAAGGAAUCCACAUUUGUACUGGACAGUAAGUCAGCUGGUUAAUGGCUGUUACUGUUCUCACACGUGAUCCACUGAUGGGCAGUGUAUUUUUAAUCCAAUAGGCUACAUAUACAGGGGUCAGUGCCUUAAUAUAUCAGUUUUCUCUGAGAGCUGAGUGAAAGGGUAAGUAGAACAAACCAUUAAAUAGAUGAAAAAUGCACCACAAGUACCUCUAAAAAGUUCUGGACAAACCCUUUCUAAAGAAAGACCUCAAAGCAGAGUAUGGAGGGGAAAAAAUUGGCCCUACGUUUCCUCUCAUUGUCAGCUGCUAAACAGGGUAUUCAAAUUUAGACAGAUAAUUUUAUUCCAAGUUCAGCCUACCUGCAGUUUUAAAUGCCUCAGACUUUAGGUAAAUGGACUUACUCUACCAGGUUCACUAGACCCUCACUUCUCAGAAAAGUUUUGAAAAAGCCCUAGAUGUUAAAUAAAAAUGUUGUUUUUACUUUUUUAUCAAAUCUUACUAAUUUAGCCAUUCCAAUAAGGGAUAUAGGAAUUCCUUUGUGGCACAGUGGGUUGAGGAUCUAGCGCCGUGGCUCCUUAUGGCAUGGGAUUGACCCCUGGCCUGGAAACUUCCACCUGCCAUGGGUGUGGCCAUGAAAAAGGAAAUAAUCACAAGUAUUAUUCCCACACUGAAUUAACAAGAUAAAGUGACUGGAUGCUCACUCCUUCAACACCACAGCUCUCUGUACUAUAUUCAGCAUUUCCCUUCCACACUCAGCAUGAAAAUGUAUAGUUUGGUUAGUUAUAAAGUGAUGAAAUUCGUCCUUAUAAGAGCUUAGGGAUAUUCAUCUCAUUACUUUAAAGCCAUACCUUAUAUGGAACCCAGUGUAUCAUGAACUUUUUAAGUAUGGAGGACUGAAGGGCAAUGUUUCUGAUGAUGGCAGCUUCAACUACCAUUUGCCCUGUAUUCUAGGUCUUAGAGUUGGUCCAAGUCUUACAGGUAAUUUGUGUCAUAUCCAAAACAGCAGCAAUUAAACUUACCUCAUUAUCAUACUGAGGGCAGUACCAUCAGCUCAGUCAACCAAGCAGGAAGCCUGAGUCAUCUCUAAUGCCACUUUCCUAAGUGGCUUUCCACUUCCAUAGGUAAAUGAAGCUCAGACCAUCAUCAUCUCUUAUCUAGAAAAUUGCCAAGAGUCUCCUAAUUGGUCAUCACAACCUCUGAUCUCAAUUCAUGUACCCCCUGCUACCAAUUAUCUUUUUAAAAAUUAAAAAUUAUCUCAAAAAUUUCAGAAAUAGUGAAUAUUACAUUGGAUUUUAUAAUAAAUUAACAUACUAACAUUUUGGCACAUCUGCUUAAUUUUUUUAUGAAACAACUUUUUUUUUUGCCACACCUGCAGCAUAUGAAAUUUCCCAGGCCAGGGAUUGAACCUAUACCACAGCAGCAACUGGAAAUGCUGCAGUGACAACACCAGAUCCUAAAGCCACUGCCCUUCGAAAGAACUAGCAUUUCUCUAAUAUCAUCAGAUAUCCAGAUAGUGUUCAGAUUUCCCCAGUCAUCUCAUAAAAGAUCUUGUGUAGUGGUUUGUUUGAAUCAGGACCCACCCAAGACCCAUAUUAUUACAUUUGGUUGAUGUCUCUUUAGACUUUAUUUGAAGUAAACUCUUUUGGGAAAAAAAAGUUUAACACAUACAGAAAAAUACGCAAAUCAGAAGUAUACAACUAAAUACAAUUUAACUGAAUUAACAAAGCCAUGUAACCAACAGUCAGAUGAAGAAACAAAAUUUCAUAAGCAACCCCAGAACCCCCUUCAUGCCCCUGCCAGUCACUACUUCCUACAAGGUAACCACACUCCUGACUUCCAACCCCCAAAUUAGCUUGACCUGUUUUUUGAAUAUUAUACGUGGAAUUAUGCAGUAUGAACUCUUUUGCCUUUAGCUUUUUAUGCUCAGUAUUUGCAAAAUUCAUUCACAUUGCUGGGUAUAACUGUAGUUUGUUUGUUCUUGCUGCUUUCUAUUCCGUUGUAUAAAUGAGUAGAUUGUAUGUAUAAUACCACAUGCUAUCUAUUCAACUGAUGGAUAUUUAGGUUGUUUCCAUGUUUAGCUAUUUCACUUUUUUUUUUUUUUUUUUUUUUUUUUUUUUUGGUCUUUUUGCUAUUUCUUGGGCCGCUCCCACAGCAUAUGGAGCUUCCCAGGCUAGGGGUCGAAUCGGAGCUGUAGCCACCGGCCUACACCAGAGCCACAGCAACGCGGGAUCCGAGCCACGUCUGCAACCUACACCACAGCUCACAGCAAUGCUGGAUCGUUAACCCACUGAGCAAGGGCAGGGACCGAACCCGCAACCUCAUGGUUCCUAGUCGGAUUCGUUAACCACUGCGCCACGACGGGAACUCCUGUUUAGCUAUUUCAAAUGGGUCAGCAGUGAGCUUUUGUAGACAUCUUUUAGUGAACUUAUGUGUGCAUGUCCAUUGGGAACACACCCAGGAGAAGAAGAACUGGGUCUAGGGUUUAUGUAUAUUUGUCUUUAUUAGCUAUUGCCAAAUAGUCUCCAAAGCAGUAGUAACAGCUUACACUCACACCAGCAGGAUAUAAGAGUUCCAGUUACUCCACAUCUUUGUCAAUAUUUGGUAUUGUCUGACAUUUUCAUUUUAGCCAUUUUAGUAGGUGUCUAGAGGUACUGCAUUUUGGUUUUCAUUUCCAAUCUCCUGAUAAGUAAUGAAGUUGAGCACCUUUUCACCUAUUUAUUGGCCAUUUGUGUAUACUCUUUAUCAAGUGUUUAUUCUUAACUCUUUGAUCUAUUGAUUUCUGAGAGAGGUAUAUUAAAUUCUCAAACA